RNAcentral lists this long non-coding RNA (1214 nucleotides) under Trifolium pratense (red clover). RNAcentral's name for it is "long non-coding RNA (TPRA_LNC002172)". Lineage: Eukaryota; Viridiplantae; Streptophyta; Magnoliopsida; Fabales; Fabaceae. The record is from RNAcentral.
CUACUAUGUACCAUGUGACGUCGUUUUGGCUGUUUAGGGCAAUUUGUUUGAGUUUCCAGAGCAUUCUCUCUCAUUCUCAACUAUUCCAAACCCAUCACCGCCGUCCUCUCAUUUUCAUCACCUUUGCUUUCUUCGCCGUCGUCACAUCGCAUCCAUCCAUGUCCGUCGAUCUCUUACUAAAAUUCAUCACCUCUGUUUUCUUUUGUUCGUUUCUCACUAUGUUUUCUAACCUUUUUUCGUUUUUUUAUCAUGGUAUGUGGAAGAAGAAGGAACAUUAGCUGCUUAUUAUUAACCUUUUUCAAUUAAAGGUAAUGUUUUGAUUUAUCUUUUUCAUCUUCUUCACACUCACUAUAUUUCAGUCUUACUCUGUAUAGAAGAACAAGAAGAUCAAGUUUUUAUAUUUGUUAUUAUUCCAGUUUCCUAUGCUAGUUAGGUUUUUUUUUUAUAGAAGAACAAGUUUUCUCUGUAUUUUAACAUUUUGAUUUAUCGAUUUUAAUGUUCAGAUCUACAUGGUAAAUAAUAACCUUCAGAUCCAGACAUUUCCGACAGAUCUACAUGGUAAAUAAUAUCCAGAUCUUACAAUCUUUCCCUUUUACUGAUUUAUAGUUUUUCUCUUAUUUAUUGAUUAUUGAUCCAGGAUUCUCUUUUGUAGGUUUGGUGAAAACAAUAGUUGCUUUCUACUUGUGAAGGUAAUGUUUUUGGUUCCAUUGUUAGGUAAGUAAAGAAAGAGAAAGCCAGGAAAAGAGAAACCUGGGAAGAGUUUAAUUGACUGGAAAUAGAAAAUCUAAAAUCUCUUUGUUUUUUUUUUUUGCAUUUUCCAGAUCUAUGGUAAAACUUUUUUUUUUUUAACAAAGAUCUAUGGUAAAACUUGAAGGUAAUCCCUUUAAUGUUGUUUAGUGUUGUUUGUGUUUUAUGAGCUUUUUAGUUGAUUUAGUUUUAUGUUUUACUUUGUUUGUUUUUUUCUAACUUCAUAAAAUAUUGAUGUUUAUUGAAUGCAGGACAAGAAGCUUCAUGAUCAGAGGAUUAAAAAAAAAAGACCUUCAUAAAUUAUGUUGAUCAUGAUCAAUUUGUAAUAUUUUAUGUAAUGUAAUAUUUUAUUUUUACGUUAAUAUCAUUUGUGGAUGUGUUGUGGUUAUCUUUUUAAAUUUAUGUGAUGUAAAUGUAAUAUUUAGUUUUUUUUUCAUACAUAGAAAUAUUUAAUUUUUUCGUUUAAA